CCUACGGGCGGCAGCAGUGAGGAAUAUUGGUCAAUGGGCGCGAGCCUGAACCAGCCAAGCCGCGUGAGGGAAGACGGUCCUCUGGAUUGUAAACCUCUUUUGUCGGGGGGCAAAAGACGCCACGCGUGGCGUUCCGAGAGUACCCGAAGAACAAGCAUCGGCUAACUCCGUGCCAGCAGCCGCGGUAAUACGGGGGAUGCGAGCGUUAUCCGGAUUUAUUGGGUUUAAAGGGUGCGCAGGCGGAAGAUUAAGUCAGCGGUAAAAUUGCGGGGCUCAACCUCUUCGAGCCGUUGAAACUGGUGGUCUUGAGGGAGUGAGAAGUAGGCGGAAUGCGUGGUGUAGCGGUGAAAUGCAUAGAUAGCGCGCAGAACUCCGAUUGCGAAGGCAGCAUACCGGAGCUCAACUGACGCUCAUGCACGAAAGUGUGGGUAUCGAACAGGAUUAGAUACCCUUGUAGUC
RNAcentral lists this ribosomal RNA (459 nucleotides) under uncultured bacterium. Its description in RNAcentral is "partial 16S ribosomal RNA". It matches the Rfam family "Bacterial small subunit ribosomal RNA", at positions 338 to 795 of the family's 1533-position model. The record is from RNAcentral.